UACAGGGGGUGCAAACGUUGCUCGGAAUCAUUGGGCGUAAAGAGCUCGUAGGCGGUCUGUCGCGUCGGCUGUGAAAUCCCGAGGCUCAACCUCGGGUCUGCAGUCGAUACGGGCAAACUAGAGUAUUGCAGGGGAGACUGGAAUUCCUGGUGUAGCGGUGAAAUGCGCAGAUAUCAGGAGGAACACCGGUGGCGAAGGCGGGUCUCUGGGCAAUAACUGACGCUGAGGAGCGAAAGCGUGGGGAGCGAACAGG
RNAcentral lists this ribosomal RNA (253 nucleotides) under uncultured bacterium. Its description in RNAcentral is "partial 16S ribosomal RNA". It matches the Rfam family "Bacterial small subunit ribosomal RNA", at positions 524 to 776 of the family's 1533-position model. The record is from RNAcentral.